AAACUUGGCACCAUUUUAUAAUCAAACUUUAAUCUUGAACAGAAAGCUUUCAGGUAAUUGAACUGAACACAUUAUGCGUAUUUAAAUAUGUACGUAAUGUAAUAAGAAGAUUGUUACCGAGCGUUGAGAACUUGUAUGCAGCUCAACCGCGUUGGUAACGAUUUCUUACCCGGUAGCCAAGAUUAUCCUUACUAUACUCUUAGAAAUCGGGUAUGAAAAUAAUAUCAAGCGGUAUUCAUAUACAUAUACCUCUACCAAAGUGAUAUUGAUAGCUCAUACCGUGUAGCACAUAAUAGCUCGGUAUAAAAAUUUGCUAUACCAAUUUUAUCAGAAAUCAAUACCUGAAUAUAUGUAGCAGAUCUCUAACAGUUAAGUAUUUACUACCAAAUUAUUUACAUCGCUUGUUAGCAGAGCCGCAUGCAUGGUAUCGGUGACAAUCUAACCUUAUUACCACAUUGUUUUUAGUGUUGAAAAACUUUUAUGAAUCAAACAAGGCAGAAAAUUUUGAUAAAAAUCGCAACAGAAAAGCUUGGCCAAAAUGAAUUUGAUCGCGGCUGGAAACUUUGCAACAUGAUUGAAAUCCUUAUCGCAAUUUAUAUGCAAGUAAUCCCUGGAUUUUCGGCAUUCCUGUUUCUCCUUUUGAAAAAUAAGCCUUGGUAUUACUACCGAUUUCUACCAAAAAGUCUGAAUUAUUGUGGAAUCUCUACAAUUCUCUAUGCCCUGUACGACUACUGGUCAAUUGCGGUGCACCUAGCCGCAUUUGGUCUACAGGUCUGGGUCAUCAUCGUAUUUGUGCACACGGUCACAGUUUCCUUGAAAUUCUUAAGGUUGGUGCAAACUAGGAAUUGUAAAAAAAUUAAAAUUAAAACAAAAAUAUAUAUAUUUCAAAAUUUCCAUAAUUUGGUAGGAAAUUUCUUACUUAAAUCUUUUUGUGAUAUUAAAUUUUAGGAGAGACCUUACUCCUAAAUGUUGGCUAUCAAUUCGUGACGAGAUAAGAAUUUACUUCCAACUCCAAAUUCUGAACAGUCGGUUUAACGAAUGUUUCGCAAAUUCUUUAAUCCCAUUUUUGAAAGUGACGUGUGGCGCUUCGUACAUUUUAUGCAUGACGGGUUUAAUAAAACUAGAAGGCGUUGGACCCCCCGUGUGUCUUGGAACUUUAGCCGUCGUCGCCCUGUUUGGAGCCAACAUGCUGUUAGGCAUUGGAAUUGCCGCCUCCAGUAUAGAGGUUGGCGCAGAAAAAUACAUAUUGUCACGAAAAUUUAGCACGCGCCGGCGGACGAGGGAAGAUUUCAAGCUGCAGGCGUCAAUUAAAUAUUUUGCAGUAAAAAUUUUGGGGAUAUAUUCCAUUGAUAGGAAAGCUCCAUUGACAAUGUUCAGUAUUGGGUGCACCUACAUUGUCACCUUGUUGGUUAUGUUUCCUCAAAAAUUGUCCGUUUGAGGAGACACAAAUUGCAUGUAAAUAUGUAUAUAACCAACAAUAGGAUGUCCGGCUAGCGCUUGAAACUGGUCGAAAAACGCCGUGAGGCUCCGCAUGCUAAUUUAAAAACAAUUUUUUUGUUGAAAUUUUAGACAAACUUAUGUUGACUUAAAAAAUUAUAACUUGUUAUUUUAAAUUAUGUCUUGACGUUUUUAUAGUCGAAUUAAAAGUGGACACUUUGCAGCAUAUUUUUCAAGAAAUGUGUUUUUUUAAGAAAUUGUGUCUAUCUAUUUUACAUAGCUAUGGUACUUUAUUACCAUUUUUUAAUCUGAUUCAAGCAUUACAAAUUGUAAUUUGGAAAUAAACUUUUUGAAUACUUCAAUAACGCUUUUUAUGACCUAGGCUUUUGACAUUGUAAAAAAUCUAUUUAACAAUUUCUAUGUAAGAUUUAAGUGUUGGCGUCCUCUUCUUGGAACACAUCUUUUUUCGACCUUGGUAGCCUAUCUUUCACCUCCAAAACGACGCCAUGGGCUCCUUUCAAAUGUAGAGUUAGCGCUGACUUUAUGGCGAACCCC
Molecule: long non-coding RNA, 1992 nt
Organism: Folsomia candida
Lineage: Eukaryota; Metazoa; Arthropoda; Collembola; Entomobryomorpha; Isotomidae
Exons: 2
Source: RefSeq, a predicted model, not a curated record